GCUGCUAAAUGUACGUUUCUAUAAUAGUAUAUGUUAUAAUAAAGACCGACGAGGAACAUUAAAAACGAAAAAAAAAAAAAAAACAAAAACAUGUAAUACAACAGUAAUAACAUAAUAAUAUAGGUACUUAACAGUAGGCAAUAAUAACAACGUAACGUAAUAUAAUAUAAUAUGAAUAUAUUAUACUUACACACAAAUAAUGGAAGAUUUGUAAUCAAUCAAUAAAGUAUAAUUAUUAAGUAUUAUUAAAAUAUUUAGUAAAUUGUAUGAUAUAAUUUAUAAACGCGAGAGCCGAGAACGAUAAAUAUAUAACCCUGGAGUGUUUAUAUACUAUUAUGUCUAAAUUUCGAAAAUCUAUUCGAGUAAAUAAAUUUUAAAAUAAGUUUUAAUAUAUAUAUAUAUAUAUAAAAAAAAAAAAAAAUGGAUUGAUUUAUUUUUUAUUUUAUUUACAACAGAAAAACCGCGAAAAUUACAAUUUCCUAUACUCGUAUGUAUUAUAGUAAUAUUAAAUAUUAAAAUGAAAUAAACAUUUUGUAUUGACGAACCUAUUAUAAUAAAUGGUAUUGGAUUCAGAAACGGCCGAUAUUUUUGCGAGAAACGAACGAAACCAAUAGGAAUAUUGAAAACUGUUUAAGGUUAAUCGAGUAGCAUUAGCUGUACAUAUUUAUAUAUUUUCCUCGGGGGUAAGAUAAACAAUAUUAAUUUUGUUUUGACUUUUAAGCGGACCGAUACGUGCCGAUCGCGGGUCACGAAAACACUAAUUUAUGGACGUAAUUACGUUUCUCCGGGUAUAUAUUUGUUUGAAACUUUAAACGUGAAUCGAUUAUUAAUGCUGCCGUCUAAACUGUGCGACGAACAUGCGCGAUAAUUAACGCGUACGGAAUUCGAGGUGCAAUUUCUAGUGAAACAAUCGUAGUGUAUAUUGCACUGCAGUGGCGUCAUUUGCGGGAUGCACGGGCAUACGAAUGCGCCCCGCGAACAUUGUUUAGCGCACUCAAAAUGUAUAUCGCAGAUAUAGUAGAAAUACAGUUUCACAGAAUUUAUAGUACGCAACAAUCAUUUCGUAAUUUGACUAAAAUGCCACUAUGCAGUUUUUAUCGUAAUAUUUUAGACACCAUCCCCGUGGAUAUUUAACAGCAAAUCCGGAUUCAGGAUUUCGAAUCGCAAGAAUUCCGAUUUCGGAUUUCAAAAGUUUUAAUUGCACAUGAUUAGUCUUUGAUAUCGAAAUUAAUAGUCACUAUUAGUUUUGCAUCCCGUAAAAAAACGUGAAACGACGUCCCGAGUAUUUUAUGUGAUAAUUGUUAAAAAAAAAAAAAAUUUCGAUAUAUAUGUAUAUAUAUAUAUAUAUUAUAACACAAUAUUAAUAAUAAUAAUAGAAUAAAACAUCAUCGAUUAACGAAUAGAGGUACCGAUAUUCGUUCGAUAGGGAUAUUAAAAACGAAUUAUGGACACCUAUAUCGCAGCAAUCCGUUUGAAGUUUUUCGUAAAAAAAAAAAAAGAAAUCGAUACGUGCAAGAACAAACGAAAUGUAAUAUUGGAAUGUCGUGUGAAUCGAUUAUACCUGAAAGUAAAAUCGGCCGCAACGUUCGGCCGAGAAAACACGCGGGGCGAGAUGUUUCGACCAGAACUGACGAGGGCCGAGUGUGUACAGAUAAAAAAAAUAUGAAGAAGUGCGAAUCCAUUUUUUUCCCGUCGAAACAUCAAUCGAGCCCAUACUCCAAGUGUCUGAAUAAAUGCAAUUUAUUAUUAUAUUUUUGUAGAAUAUAAAACGUAUAGGUUUAUAUAAUUGAGAAGUUAUGAAUUUUUCCCCUCUAUUUUUCUGUUCGCGAGUUUUUCAUUGCACAAGUAGACAUAUUGAACGAGGCCGUCCUUUGGGAGAAGGGGGCCGUCGCGUCUUUGAUAUAAAUUUGAUUUUCAAAAAAAAAAAAAAGAAAGAAAAAGAAAAGGUUGUAGAAUAUUUGACAAGCAUAACUAGCAACUAUUUUCCUCUAUUUAUAACGGAUGCUGCAGAAUGUACAAUAGGUACUCGCAGUACGACUUUGACCGGUUUUACGCGUUAUUUAUAUAAUUAUCUCAAUACGAUAGAUGAACAAGAACAUUUAUUUCGGAAAACAAUAAUUGAGCAAAAAAUUAGUUUGAAAAAUAUUUUUGAAAACGUAAAAAAGUAUUCACACGAGCGAUGUUAUAUUUACAAACGGUUUGAAAGCUUGUUUUUUUUUUCUGGAUAACAAACUUGUUAAAAAAAUACAAGGGUUUUUUAAUUAUACAAAAUUGUAAUACACGUAAACACACGUACACUCACACAAAUACACACACACACACACACACACACACACACUUAUCAAUUAAUUAAAAAUCCAAAUGUUUGAACACGCUAGAUAAACAUAAGAUAAACAGACUAGGUAUGACGACCUUUUUACAUAUAUUGUUUGUAUAUACUGUAUUGAAUCGGUAGUUACGGGGAGACGGACAAGAUGCGUUUUUCCAUGGCGUGGUCUUUGUUGUGUUUUUUUUUCUCACAAAAGAAAAAAUACUGUAAAUCGUAGACGUACAAAAGCAACGACCUAGUCGAUUUGUCGCUUUGACGAACACGAAUUAUCACGAUCACAUUGUGUGUAGGGAAUAUACCGAGACACCGGUGACUGACGAUAACCGGGAAAAGUCCAAAAGUCGAGGAUUAAGUAAAUUUAAGGACGGGUCUAUGUGCUCGCGGUGUUCUUUUUUUAAAGGGAAGGGGCGGUGGACACGCGGUGGAAGAAAAAAAUAUAAAAAAAAAGCCCCGACUUUGCGAUAUCGUUGUUUUUUUACGAUUCAACGGACAUUAACAUAUAACUCUAUUAUAUAUACGUGUUUACGUGACGGUUUUUUUGGUGAAACGGCCAGCGAACUGCAGUUUCAUACCGGGACCGUUUAGGAUUUCAAUACGAUCUCGUUUCCGGGCAGUUUAACUUAUGUCUAUUAUGCACGCGAAAGUUAAUGUAACAAACGCUAAAAAAAAAAAAAAAAAGUAAUAAUAAUAAUACAAUUUCGA
This is a non-coding RNA of Cinara cedri, 3031 nucleotides long. Lineage: Eukaryota; Metazoa; Arthropoda; Insecta; Hemiptera; Aphididae. The record is from the annotation of a GenBank genome assembly.